GUCGCCGCGCGGGCGCCGGAACGGGCGCACAGCUCCCUCUGCAGGAGCACCAGCCGCGCCCGGGCGCACGGAGGAGCACGCUGGCGACGCCGCGCCACGCCGCUCGGCGACCGGCCUCCCGCAGCCCCGCGCUACGCCGCCUCCCCUCCUUCGCGCCCAGGAAGGAAAACUUUGCCUCUUCCCUGACCUAGGCCGGCUUUCCCCAACCCGCCCGUCCGCCUGCCUGCCACCAGCCACUCUGUAUAUGGAAGAAGAAAUGCUUCAAGGUGAUCGUGAAGGAAGUACAGCUUCCUCCCUUAACCCUUGAUGGACACGGACUGCUCGGCCUCCAGGCUGAAGAGGUUCUUCAGAGGUGUUGCCAAGACAAUGGAUGAUCCCUUGUUGGAGAUUUACUGACUGAUGGGGAGCGAGGGUCAACCACGUGUCCAGCUCCUUGGACCUCGACAGCUGAAAACCUGCACUCCCUGGUUGUAUACCCUUCAUGUUUUCCAGGUUCUAGAUCUGUGCUGUCCCUUUAAUCCCGUAACAAACUCUAUUUAACAGAUACAGAAAAAUCUCAGCCACCUUAAAGCGCCUAAGUCACCCAACACUAAGACAGAACCAAGGCUCCCUUACUUCAGUUGGUCCUAAAGUCCACCUCCCUGUUAUCAAUGAAGCAUUUGAACUGUUUUAGAAAUGGAAGUGUUAUCUCCAGAAUAAAGACCAGAGUGUCUCUGUUACUGAGGGGGUGGGUAGGGGCAUGGGGAGCACCUCCAAGACAGCCUUCAGCAGCAUCUUUUUUAUAGCACUGAUUGAACUUUGUCCCUAAGAGGCAGGCUAGUGAUUUGCUGCUCAGCACCACCUCAAGUUGCUUAUGAAAGUAUUCCUCCCACCCACACAUUGUUGAGGGAUAUUUUUGUGCAUUGUGCAUUCAAAUGCUGAUUUCUGUACCCAGAGAUUUAGUUACUGCCGUAAACCUGUCAUUAUUGUGAAGCCUCUCCUGACUCAGUGUUUGGUAAAACUUUGUCCUCGCCAGGCGUGGUGGCACACGCCUUUAAUCCCAGCACUCUGGAGGCAGAGGCAGGCGGAUUUCUGAGUUCAAGGCCAGCCUGGUGUACAAAGUGAGGUCCAGGACAGCCAGGGCUAUACAGAGAAACCCUGUCUCGAAAAUCAAAAAAAAAAAAAAAAAAAAAAACAGAAAAAAACAACAACAACAACAAAAAAAAACAUUGUCUUCCACCAUCUUCUGAUUGGACACAGAUAGCUGGGCAGGAGAGGAAAAGGUGGGACUUCCAGAAAGGGGGGUCUCAGGUGGGACCCAGGGAGAUGCCAUCGGAACAAUGAAAGAGAUGCCAAGCACGAUGGCAGGAAUGGGCCACAUGGCUGGGGAGUAGGCCAGAGUUGUAACCUGACUGUAGUCAGGGUAGAAUAGCCCAGAAUCUGUCCAGCUUAGUGCCUGAAGGUCUAAAGGUGUCUGUGUCUUUCAAAGCAAGGUCAGACACAGAAAAGCCUGUACUUUAACAUGUUUUACCCCAUGAGGGAUGAUGGAGGGUAGGGAGGGUACUAAAAUCCAUCCCACCACUUACAACACUCCAACAAGCCUUGCAACAAAUUCACAUGCGUUCUUUGUAUAUCUGAAGAUCUUUGUAUAUCAGCUCAGCACCUUGGGGAAAUUCCACCCCUCCCUGGAAGAGAGAGGUUAGGGAGGGGCUCCUUACAUUGCUCAGAAAAACCACAGUUGGCCCCCUGCAGAUAAGGGAAGCAUUUGCUACCUCAUUCCCUAAGGACCAAUCAGUUUAAAAGACUGUUCUGCCCAUCAUAUAGUGCCUAGUGGCUGAUGCUCUAUUCUGCCCCUGGAAACUGUAAAAACUCACUGAACAGGCUGACCAGGGUCACGGCCUCUCCUUCAGGUGUGGGACUACCCCAAGGCAUUAGAACAAUAAAUUCCUCUUGCUUUUACUUCGA
This is an RNA transcript of Mus musculus (house mouse), 1944 nucleotides long. It is a transcript of the gene named RIKEN cDNA 2310075K07 gene, with no coding region annotated. The record is from RefSeq and is a predicted model, not a curated record. The transcript has 2 exons. Lineage: Eukaryota; Metazoa; Chordata; Mammalia; Rodentia; Muridae.